RNAcentral lists this ribosomal RNA (201 nucleotides) under Triticum aestivum (bread wheat). RNAcentral describes it as "partial small subunit ribosomal RNA". The record is from RNAcentral. Lineage: Eukaryota; Viridiplantae; Streptophyta; Magnoliopsida; Poales; Poaceae.
GAGGAGCGCUCGCUGGUGCGCUACCGCGAGAACCCAAUGGCGUACGAGCCUCCAGUGAUGUGCCACUGCUCAACUCCGAGGAAGGCGCCAAGAUGGAUCUCCUGGAGCAGGUUGAACCCUGGUAGAAGGUACUACAGCUGCGUGGAUGCUCUGGUGAGUGUGGUUUUCUACCUAAUUUUCCUCCUUUUUUCUGUGCAAUAG